AUUUAAUAUCAAUUUAAAUAUCAUAUUUAAAUAUCAUAGAGCCUGAGGGAAUAAGCGUGGAGAUCCUCAGAAAAGUGAUUCUUUAGGUAAGUGGAAGAUUUGGAGAUGUCUACUUUCAUAUGAUCCCAAGGCAUUUUCUACAAUCAGCUGGUGGAGCCCUCUCCAUUCUUCCCUUUAGGCUCUCUUUGGGAAUCAUUGCUGAGCUUUAGCUCUGUAAAGGAAGAACUGAGGCAAUCAUCUAGGAUAGGAAGGAAGGAUGGGAAAGGGAAGAGCCCUUUUAUUCAUCCAAAAGGAUAAAUUUUCAGUUACAGCAAAUAAGCUUAGAAUUUAUUCUGUGAUAUGGGGGGUUUUAAGCAAAUUAUUAAACAUCAGCUCUACUGAAAUCAUAAGUACUGAUUGGAAACUAUAAUCAAAAUCCUAAACACCUUCUUCCUGUGUGUACCCAGGUUUCAGGUUGCUUUCCAACAACUUGUAUACAGCCCGGUACACAGAUACACAGAAAGUACCAUAUGGAGACACACAGAAACUUGUCUUCUCUUGGAGGUCCAAGACAGUUUUAGAGCCAAAACAUAUGCUACAAAAGUUUUGUUCUAUCAAGCCUGAAACUUUGAAUGUUAGCAUCCAUGAUCACAGCUGCCUGUUCUACAAUAUCUGACAUAUUUGCAUUACUGGUAUUUUCCAUACUGUUGUCUGUUUCUCCUCUGUAAAUUACGUGACAGUUGAUAAUCUCAUCGCCUUUAGUCUUUCCAUUAAGUACUGCAAGAGAAAUAUGCCUAUCAAAUCUAUCACACAUCUGCUCAUAUCUUCCUUCUGUACAAAAUUCUUGGCUGUGUCAUACAUAGUAAUACCUAAUAAAUAUUUGUUCGAUGGAUGAAUAUUUCCCAAAGGCUUGCAGCAGAGAUUCUAAAACUUUGGGAGACAGAAAUAAGUGACUCAUCCCCCAUAAGAAUAAAUCGGUGGGAGGAGGUGGCAGUAUGUAAUACAAAAAAAAAAAAAAAAAUUUACAUGUUCAAUAGAUCUAUUAUUUUUCUAAUGCAAACUACUAAAAUACAACUUGUUUUGCCUAGUAGAUAUGUGUAGAAAAUUGACUAAAAACAAAUAUUAGAGGGAAUACAAUUUUUAAAAGGUUGAGAAAUAUUGGUUUGAAGUUAAAAAUUUUAAACUUUUUUUGUUUGUUUGGCAUCGGAAUCCUUCAUUGUGACCCUUGUGAGUGAUCCAGGCUCACCUCCACUCACUCCACAUGUGGAUACUGCCCCCUUCUUCUCCUCAUAACCAGAAGCAUUAUGACCUUCCUGGAAUAUACAGUGCCUCUAACACUUCCAUUAUGAAGCCUCUCCUAACUCCCACAAUUUUAACAGCACUAUCUCCUAGUCUCUCCUCUUAACAUGGCCAAAAAUAGUCAAUUCAAUUAUUUCCAGAGUAUGUUUGUCUUGACAUUAAUUAAACUAGUGCCAAAGAUUAUAAUACUAAUUGUGAAACUAAUUUAAAGAAUUUAACAGACCUUAGCAUUACACACUAAAUAAGAUAUUGGUGAUUUUAAAGAAGUAUUGAAAGUGACUUUAAAUAGUUGUAUAGGCUAAAUUUUCCAUGGCAAAUGUGUCAAGUUGAACUCACUUUGAAUAUUAUUUAUAUGAUAUAUAAUGAAAAUAGAUAUGUGAUCAAUAGAAUAUCCUGAAAUAUUCAUGAGUUAUUUUCAUCCAAUUGUUUCAGACACUGAUAAUUUUUUAAAGUGGAAUUUCAGUUAGUAAUCUUAGUUGUUUUGAAAAUAGAUUAAAUUUUAAUUUAAUAUGUGAAUUUAAAACUAAAUAUAUUUUUGCUAAUCAAAUAUAUUUAAGAUAAAAUUUUAAUAAAUAUCACAUCUUAAACUACUAUUAGGAUAUUUAAAAUGUACUACCUAUAUUUGCUGAUAUUUCUUCUCUACUUGAAUCUUAGUUGACCCUUCUCACCUCUUAAUUUGGCAAAUAAUAUCUUCCCAAGAAGAUUGGUCUUACAGAGCAGUAAAAAGAGCUUUUAAAUAAAAGUUUAAUGAAACCCAGUUUCGGCAACAAUGCUGUAUUAGUUCGUUCUCACACUGCUAUGAAGAAAUACUCAAGACUGCGUAAUUUAUAAAGAAAAGUUUAAUUGACUCACAGUUCUGCAUGGCUGGGGAGCCCUCAGGAAACUUACAAUCAUGGCAGAAGGCACGUCUUCACAGGGCAGCAGGAGAAAGAAUGAGUACCAGCAGGGGAAAUGCCAGAUGCUUACAAAACCGUCAGAUCUUGUGAGAACUCACUUACUAUCUGGAGAACACCAUGGGAGAAAAUGCCCCCAUGAUCUAAUUACCUUCACCUCGUCCUGCCCUUGACACAUGGGGCUUAUGAGGAUUACAAUUCAAGGGGAGAUCUGGAUGAGAACACAGAACCAAACCAUAUCAGAUGCCCCAAAACAAACUUUUGUGUACUUCUUGCUGAAGAAGUGAGUUGAUGUGGAUUCUUUGGAAACAAUUAAAAAAUGUCUGUUACUUAAUUGGCAUUGGUAAUAUGUUCACAGUAAUUGCAGUUUAGAAAUAUAUUUUAAGAUUUAGCUGCACCCCAGAAAAUGCCACCUAAAUUUAUAGUGCCAGAAAACAGAUCAUUGGUUGCCUAGGGAAGGGGAUAGGAAGAAGGGUGUCAAUUCAAAGGGACAACUUUUGGGGCUGGUAUAUACAUUCACUGUGUUGAUUUUCAUGAUGGUUUGAAGAGUGGCAAAAUCUAGAAAAUUCUAUGCUUCAUACGCAAUCAUUACAUUUCAAUUAUACCUCAAAUCUGUUGAUAGAGAUAUGUACAAAUAUAAAAAAAUUUUGUCAAAAGUCCCUUGCAUGAUCAUUUGAAAAAGGACCAACCUGUACGCAAUCUCCUACAUGCAUUGUAUCUACCAAAAAAUUGUUAACUAGAAAAUAUUCACAAACUACCCUUUAUUCAUAAGUUACUUUAAAAAACAGAAUAAAUAAAAGUAUGUACAAAACAACACUAGAAGCAAAUUGAUAGAAAACUUACAGAGAAUGUUUUCUUUAUUCAAAAUGUGCACAUUUUCUAAUAUUGUUUUACUGUGAAUUUUAUUUUUUAAAAAGAAGAAAAAUAUUUUAACAGAUAAAUAAGACAUAGACACUAUGAAAGACUGUAUUCACUGAGUAAAUCAUGCCAAAUUAUUUCUUUGGUUGCUAUGGGGCAACUAAACUGUUAUAUUCUGUUGUUAAACUAAAGAGAAAGCAUUUUAAUUUAAGCAAAGUAUACAGCAAAGGGUUGAUUGUAUGUUGUUUGAGAAAAAAAAAAUGAUAGCUCAGUUUGCUUCACUUUGGCUAUGGUUUGAAUGUCCGUUCAAUUUUAAAGUCUGUGCAGUGCUAUUGGGAUCUAUCCUGAAUGUUUAUCCCCCAUGGAUAUGUAUGGGACUGGAAGGUUUUCUGUUACUUCACUUCUCAAAGUCUUUAUUUAGUUUGCUGACUAGGAUCAGAUUCACACAUGUGCAGCUCUGGGAAAGAAGCCCAGGAUUUUUAUGAAUAAUUUUAUGGCUUUGAUUUCCUGAGCCUUCUUUGCAAUUUCUGCAGUACUUUCUGGUUCCCCUGGGCUUCCCUUUUUAGUCCUUUGGCCAGAAAGUUGGUGUUUUCGUUACUUCACUCUGGCACAGACUUCUGUGGCUGUGCCCACAUCUGGGGUCAAAACAAAAUAGCAAGGAACAAUUGUGAAGAUAAUUCAGCUCACACUUUUAGGACCACAGCACCAUUGAUUGGACAGGAAGAUUUUGAUCCCUAAUACAUUUGGUUCCUGUGGGGUCCCUUGCAGGUGUUACUGUUAUAGACAGGAUUGUUUCGACCUAGGAAUAAAGGACCUCUGCUAGAACUCUCUGUGUCUCAGUGCUCACUUCAGGUUUUGGCUUAAUAUGACCUUAGGCAGGGGGUAAUAGAAAAAUAAAACUGGUAGACUCACCACUGAUUCCUUGAUGCUUCAAGUUGCCAUUCUUUCCUGACUUUCUGGCAACUAUUUGGUAUUCAGAGUUCUCAAACAGCAAAUGCAUGCAUUCUGCCCAGAUUUCAUAGCUGCAUUCAGAGGGAAAGACAUGGUGGAGUGUGCUUGCCCCAACGCUUAGAAUUAAAACCCAAACAAAUACUUUUUAUUUAAUAAAUUUGCUACAAGUCUUUUUCUAUUAAAUUCAGUUCCAGUGGGUCCCUUAACUGUUCCUUUGACUAAAGCAUAUGACUGGAGUCAAUAAAAUUUACAUAUUGUUAUGAUUUUACUUAAGAAUAUGUGCAUAUAAAUAUUUCACUUUAAAAUUAGCUUUAUGCAUAUCCAUUUUUCUCAAGCUCUCCCUUUGUUCACUUCAGCAGUGGUCCAGCCCUGAUUGUCUCUUUAAG
This 4366-nucleotide long non-coding RNA is filed under the name Homo sapiens (human). Its description in RNAcentral is "HSALNT0063351". Lineage: Eukaryota; Metazoa; Chordata; Mammalia; Primates; Hominidae. The record is from RNAcentral.